AGCGGCGGCGCAGUAUUCUAGUCAGUACUGCCGCCUCCGAAGGAGGGCCUAAAAAUCCUCUAAAGGGCAUACCUGUGAAACCUCUGGUGCCUGCUUAUUACGCCCAGUUUUGGGUGGGUGCUGGGGGGAAGCGCAUCUCUGCGCUUGCGGACUCAGGGCGAUUUCCAAUGGCAUGGUCAACCCGACCCUGUUUCCGUGGAGACCUGCUCUUGUGCACAGACGUACUCCCAUCGUGGUAUUUCCGGCCUGUGUACGAAGCAGAUUGUGAACCUGCAAGGCGGUGUGGAAGGACAUUUUGCCCCAAAUGCUGUGUGCAGACGUAGCCUGCCUUGCGUGGGUGUGGUGAAUGAGAGGUCAGGCCGUGAUGCUCCGGCCGGAGCGGUCUGCGGCCCCCUGCUCUCUGAAACCAUUCCUGCAAAAGAGGCUAAGAGACGGACAGACUGUGGUGGAAAUCACCUAGGCUGUUCAUUGUGAGGCAGAAAAAGGAUUGCAGUGCGGACUAAGUGGCAGUCGGGUCGCGCGGAAGGCGACGCCGCGCCGCGGUGCUGAAAGGGAAACCGCCCCCAUCGGCAACGAGGGGUGUGCCGCGGGGAAAUCCAACCCGUACCUAAGCCGUAAGAUUUACUUUUUCUGCCGCCGCCUGCU
Molecule: small RNA, 645 nt
Filed under: uncultured Dysosmobacter sp.
Lineage: Bacteria; Bacillati; Bacillota; Clostridia; Eubacteriales; Oscillospiraceae
Source: RNAcentral